This 393-nucleotide ribosomal RNA is filed under the name uncultured bacterium. RNAcentral's name for it is "partial 16S ribosomal RNA". It matches the Rfam family "Bacterial small subunit ribosomal RNA", at positions 523 to 918 of the family's 1533-position model. The record is from RNAcentral.
AUACGUAGGUGACAAGCGUUAUCCGGAUUUACUGGGCGUAAAGGGCGUGUAGGCGGUCUUGCAAGUCAGAAGUGAAAUUCCUGAGCUCAACUCGGGCGCUGCUUCUGAAACUGCAGGACUUGAGUGCUGGAGGGGAUAGCGGAAUUCCUAGUGUAGCGGUGAAAUGCGUAGAGAUUGGGAGGAACACCAGUGGCGAAGGCGACGUACUGGACUGUAACUGACGCUGAGGCGCGAAAGUGUGGGGAGCAAACAGGAUUAGAUACCCUGGUAGUCCACACAGUAAACGAUGAUGGCUAACCGCUGGGCUUAUCAGUUCAGUGGCCAAGCGAAAGCGAUAAGCCAUCCACCUGGGGAGUACGACCGCAAGGUUGAAACUCAAAUGAAUUGGCGGGG